RNAcentral lists this ribosomal RNA (254 nucleotides) under uncultured bacterium. Its description in RNAcentral is "partial 16S ribosomal RNA". It matches the Rfam family "Bacterial small subunit ribosomal RNA", at positions 524 to 776 of the family's 1533-position model. The record is from RNAcentral.
UACGUAGGUGGCAAGCGUUGUCCGGAAUUAUUGGGCGUAAAGCGCUCGCAGGCGGUCUUUUAAGUCUGAUGUGAAAUCUCGUGGCUUAACCACGAACGGUCAUUGGAAACUGGAGGACUUGAGUACAGAAGAGGAGAGUGGAAUUCCACGUGUAGCGGUGAAAUGCGUAGAGAUGUGGAGGAACACCAGUGGCGAAGGCGACUCUCGUGGUCUGUAACUGACGCUGAGGAGCGAAAGCGUGGGGAGCGAACAGG